Molecule: non-coding RNA, 362 nt
Organism: Electrophorus electricus (electric eel)
Lineage: Eukaryota; Metazoa; Chordata; Actinopteri; Gymnotiformes; Gymnotidae
Source: the annotation of a RefSeq genome assembly
UCAACAUGAUGAGAAUCAUUAUAAUAGUAAUCAAGACAGUGUACUGGAUCAAAGGUGUUGCAGGGGCAAAUGAUGUCAAUCAGCCUGAUGUACUCUGGUCUGAAUUGGGAAAAUCCGCCACAAUUAACUGCAGUCAUACCAAGGGUGCAACAUAUUAUCAGAUGUACUGGUACCGCCAGCACCAAGGAGAAACUAUGAAGCUCAUUGUCUUCACAUCCAGCUAUAGCAAAAAGCCAGAGUUUGGAAAUGAAUUUAGUGAGAGUAAAUUCUUAGCCAAUAAAACAGUCCCUGACAGUGGGUCCCUUACUGUAAAAGAUCUGGAUUUUACUGACAGUGCAAUGUAUUUCUGUGCUGUGUUGUAA